This 376-nucleotide unclassified non-coding RNA is filed under the name Bombus terrestris (buff-tailed bumblebee). RNAcentral's name for it is "misc RNA ENSBTSG00005037247.1". Lineage: Eukaryota; Metazoa; Arthropoda; Insecta; Hymenoptera; Apidae. The record is from RNAcentral.
GAAUUUACGACUCUCGUUGACGCGUUAUCUAGCGAUCGCGUCUCUCCGCGAACGGUUGAAACAUUUGGUCCUUCGAGCCGGAUUCAGUGUCAAGUGAAAAGUGCACGCCAGUGACACCCACUACCAUACAGUGCCACGUGAACCCAACACAACCAGCAGCGGAAGCGUUACUACCUCAGCGAGGUCAGUAACGUAAAGGGUCGUCACCUUUGAAGGGGUAUAAUUCGGUGGUUGAAACGCAAACACACAGCCUCCUGCCGCAAAGUGGAUAAUCGCCAACAGAAAAAUCUACGAGACGGAACUCCGUGCCAUACAAAACCAGAUCGUAGCUAUAGACGAGGGAGAGAUCGCGCGCGGCAUUGAACUAGCGGAAGAA